RNAcentral lists this unclassified non-coding RNA (286 nucleotides) under Hevea brasiliensis (rubber tree). The record is from RNAcentral. Lineage: Eukaryota; Viridiplantae; Streptophyta; Magnoliopsida; Malpighiales; Euphorbiaceae.
GAUUUUUUGCUUUCUUCAAUUAUUUAUUAUGUGCAGAAAUUUGUGAUAGAUAUUAUAUGUAGCAUGUAUGCACUUAAUAUAUUGUUAAUUUACUUGUAGCCUCUUAAAGUUUGACUUUUUUGUAGCAGGAGAAUGUGAUAGAUAUCAAAAUCUGCAUAUUAUCAGUUUAUUACAGAAAACAGAAAUGUAUUUCAAGCAUGGUUUUCAAGCCCAGUUUGGUCAUUGAACUGGUGAAGGCAGGAGGUCAAGGGUUUAAACUUUAACUGGGGUCGAAUUGGCGUUCAAC